Molecule: ribosomal RNA, 253 nt
Filed under: uncultured bacterium
Lineage: Bacteria
Description: partial 16S ribosomal RNA
Rfam family: Bacterial small subunit ribosomal RNA
Source: RNAcentral
GACGAAGGAUGCAAGCGUUAUCCGGAUUCAUUGGGUUUAAAGGGAGCGUAGGUGGCUUUGUAAGUCAGUGGUGAAAUCUGGCAGCUUAACUGUUAAAUUGCCAUUGAUACUGCAGAGCUUGAGUACAGAUGCCGUUGGCGGAAUAUGACAUGUAGUGGUGAAAUACAUAGAGAUGUCAUAGAACACCGAUUGCGAAGGCAGCUGACGAAACUGUAACUGACACUGAGGCUCGAAAGUGUGGGGAUCAAACAGG